RNAcentral lists this ribosomal RNA (492 nucleotides) under uncultured bacterium. RNAcentral's name for it is "bacterial SSU rRNA". It matches the Rfam family "Bacterial small subunit ribosomal RNA", at positions 28 to 518 of the family's 1533-position model. The record is from RNAcentral.
GACGAACGCUGGCGGCGUGCCUAACACAUGCAAGUCGAACGAAGCAUUUGGAGCUGAUCUCUUCGGAGUGACGCACCUUAUGACUUAGUGGCGGACGGGUGAGUAACACGUGAGCAACCUGCCUUUCAGAGUGGAAUAACAGUUGGAAACGGCUGCUAAUACCGCAUAACGUCAUAGUACCGCAUGAUACCUUGACCAAAGAUUUAUCGCUGAGAGAUGGGCUCGCGUCCGAUUAGGUAGAUGGUGGGGUAACGGCCUACCAUGCCGACGAUCGGUAGCCGGACUGAGAGGUUGAUCGGCCACAUUGGGACUGAGACACGGCCCAGACUCCUACGGGAGGCAGCAGUGGGGAUAUUGGGCAAUGGGGGCAACCCUGACCCAGCGACGCCGCGUGAGGGAAGAAGGCCUUCGGUCGUAACCGCUUUGUACGUGAAGAAGACAGAUGACGGUAGCGUACGAAUAAGUCCCGGCUAACUACGUGCCAGCAGCCGC